Molecule: RNA transcript, 2555 nt
Organism: Hippocampus comes (tiger tail seahorse)
Lineage: Eukaryota; Metazoa; Chordata; Actinopteri; Syngnathiformes; Syngnathidae
Gene: ncs1b
Gene name: neuronal calcium sensor 1b
Exons: 10
Source: RefSeq, a predicted model, not a curated record
GCACGCGGUUGAGUCACGAAUGUGUGAGCACUGAGGCCAGCAGCUUCAGCCAGCGUCACUCCCCGUCGGCGGAGGGCUGGAGAAGCACAACACGCGGCCAUGCGCGAGGCAGUAGCUCCAGCAUUUCAUCUCUGCUCUCUUCUUUGCUGACGGAACGGCGCCUUUCCUCAUCUGUACUUCAGUAGUACCUUGCAGCCCUGGACUCGUGAGGACUCAAGAUGGUCAUCCCCAGCGCGACUUGCCACAGCAGGACAUCACUGGCCAUGGGCACAUGCAGAUGUUUGCAGUGAAGGUGCCUGCACACAACAGUACUUAGUUCAUGUGGGGCUGCAGUCGGGCAUCAGUGCAUCCCAACACCGGACCUCUGAGGAGCAGACUGAGGUAAUACAAGGUGGAUUUGAAGGUGUGGAGGAGAGCUGAAAAUCAUGGGUAAAUCCAACAGCAAGCUCAAGCCGGAGGUGGUGGAGGAAUUGACAAGGAAAACCUACUUUACAGAAAAAGAGGUGCAACAGUGGUACAAAGGCUUCAUUAAAGACUGUCCCAGCGGACAGCUUGAUUCUGUGGGCUUUCAGAAGAUCUACAAGCAGUUCUUUCCUUUUGGAGAUCCCACAAAGUUUGCCUCUUUUGUCUUCAACGUGUUUGAUGAAAAUAAGGAUGGACGUAUUGAGUUCUCAGAGUUCAUCCAAGCGUUGUCUGUGACUUCUCGGGGGACUCUGGAUGAGAAACUUCGAUGGGCUUUCAAGCUAUAUGACUUAGAUAAUGAUGGCUACAUCACCCGUGACGAGAUGCUGAACAUAGUCGAUGCCAUUUAUCAGAUGGUGGGAAACACUGUGGAGCUGCCAGAAGAAGAAAACACACCAGAAAAGCGAGUGGACCGCAUUUUUGCAAUGAUGGACAAGAAUGCAGACGGGAAACUGACUCUGCAGGAGUUUCAGGAGGGCUCCAAGGCGGACCCCUCUAUUGUGCAAGCAUUGUCUCUCUAUGAUGGUCUAGUCUAAGAAUGUAAGGUGAGUGGAGUAUUCAUGUGCAAGCCACAUGCACAAUUGGCCAAGGGGAAGUUCCGGCCAUUCAAUAUUAUGCCAUCUUUGUGUCAUCUGAGCCAAUGAAAAAAGAAAUAAAAAUCAGUGAAUGGCCUCAAUCCAAAGCAAAGCAGCUGCUUUCUGCUCUCAGUUUGUUGUUAUGAAUUAUUCAGGCGACCCACUUGUUUGCUGGCAAUCAAAUGGUCUUUCAGUGCCGAGCGAAGAGCCUCUUCCGCCGCCUCGUGUAAUCCACCACCCUCUGCCAAUUGUUGCUGACAUCGUGCUCAGCGUUUUGUCAGCUGUGAAGUGAGCUAGCGAAUGCAUAUUUUGAACACACCAUUGAGGUGAUUAUCCCUUAUGGACUGGGCAAAGACACACACACACACACACACUCAUAUAUAUAUAUAUAUAUAUAUAAAAAACAUGGUGAUCACUCUCCUCACCUCGCUAGAUGGAUCCAAUUUAUCAUCAGAUUUGGAAUCAGACACACCCAGCACCAACAAAUGAGUCCAUCACAGCCUCCUAACAAUCGAUCUUGCUCAUCCAGCAGUGGACUGACAAUCAGCAGACACUUGUUUGUGUUUCCACCAAGGACUGGGGACAAAUUUUCCAAUGCCGUUCAAACCUGGCAGCAAAGCCCUCUGUCAUUUCAACGUGCUUCUGCUGCUGCUACUGUGUGCAUCUGUGCAAACAUCGCAGCCAUCUCCUUUCCCCGCCAAAAGUCCCACAAGAUGAAUUCCGUUGGGGGAUUUUCCAGACUUUUCCUAAGGAGAGGCAGAGAGCUGUGCUGUCAUCAUGGACUCUAGAGUUUAACAUGUAAAAGCGUGUUACAUGGUGAUAGAGUGAACACUAAUUGAACGUCACAAAGCAGUGUAUUGUAAUAUGUAAAUAUAAUAUUAUGAUAAUUUAGUUCCUGCUUUUCUGUAUUCCAGAGUUUUCAACUCUUAAAAAUACAAUGAAGUUUUAUUUUUUAUCAAAGUUGUUGAAAUGUUUUGCACUGCCUUUUUCACUACAAUUGUGGGAUUUUUUUGUUGUUGUUCUCACGCUCUGAGUUUCCUCUCCGGAGAGAAUAGAAUUUUUAUUUGUGGAACAGUGUUGAAGGAGCAGGGAGUUUUCUAAGGAUUAUUUUACUACAUUUGCAACCUGUGAAUACUAUUGUGUUUUCACUUCCCAGUGAGCAUGAGUGUCUCGUGUCAGCAGCGCAAUGGCCGAGCAGCAUCGCCAAAGGUCAUGGCUUAAUUGAGGCUCAUUACCCUCAUUCAAUUUCAGCGAGAGGCACAAACAAACACCAAUUCUCGUUGUAAAGCUUAAGCGAGCUUUUUGGCUGCUGUUGUCCACUUUCUAGUUGUCCUGAUGUGUAAAGCCAGAGUAUGCGUUCAUGCCUUCUACCAAUUCUUAAUAAUUUCUUGUUGACGCAGUCCCAUUUUAGCACUGUCACUGAUGUUAUGCCUUAUGCAAAUAAUUUACUGAAUGACAAAUGCCAUUUACCUGUCAUUGAUCAGUAUGAGAGCACAUAAUAAAAUGCAUUUAAAUGGC